Molecule: long non-coding RNA, 257 nt
Organism: Trichechus manatus latirostris (Florida manatee)
Lineage: Eukaryota; Metazoa; Chordata; Mammalia; Sirenia; Trichechidae
Exons: 3
Source: RefSeq, a predicted model, not a curated record
CCUACGACUGUUCACUUCCUGCAAGAGAAUUCUGGAUUUCACAAGUCACUAACAUCCAACACUGAACCGAGCUCUUAACCACUGUGCCACCAGGGCAGUAGGGCCCAUCAUUUUCUAAAUGGAGAGACUGAAGCCCAGCAAGAUUAUGCAGUUUGCCACAAUUCACCCAGCAGGUUUGAAAACAGGAUCUAAGUCUUACCUUGGAAUCCCCUGCACCCAGCACAGCACCUUGCAGAGCUGGCACUCAACAGAUGCAU